RNAcentral lists this ribosomal RNA (1162 nucleotides) under uncultured fungus. RNAcentral's name for it is "eukaryotic LSU rRNA". The stretch from base 533 to 1162 matches the Rfam family "Eukaryotic large subunit ribosomal RNA", at positions 1 to 649 of the family's 3401-position model. Lineage: Eukaryota; Fungi. The record is from RNAcentral.
AGUCGUAACAAGGUUUCCGUAGGUGAACCUGCGGAAGGAUCAUUAACGAGAGAGGGUCCUCCGGGGCCCGACCCUCCCACCCUGUGUGUAUGUACCUCUGUUGCUUCGGCGGGCCCGCAGGUCCCACCUGGGAUUCACCACCGGCCUCGGCCGGUCCGCGCCCGCCAGAGGCCCCAUCACACCCGAUUUUGCCAGUGGAGUCUGAGUGCAACGCAAUGACUAAAACUUUCAACAACGGAUCUCUUGGUUCUGGCAUCGAUGAAGAACGCAGCGAAAUGCGAUAAGCAAUGUGAAUUGCAGAAUUCAGUGAAUCAUCGAAUCUUUGAACGCACAUUGCGCCCCCCGGCAUUCCGGGGGGCAUGCCUGUUCGAGCGUCAUUACACCCCUCAAGCCUUGCUUGGUCUUGGGCCCCGCCCUCAGGGGGCGAGCUCAAAAGUCAGUGGCGGUGCCGUCGGGCUUCAAGCGUAGUACAACCUAUCCCGCUUUGGAAGACCCGGGGGUUCUGGCCAGUCAACACCCGACACAUCACGGUUGACCUCGGAUCAGGUAGGGAUACCCGCUGAACUUAAGCAUAUCAAUAAGCGGAGGAAAAGAAACCAACAGGGAUUGCCUCAGUAACGGCGAGUGAAGCGGCAACAGCUCAAAUUUGAAAUCUGACCCUCGGGUCCGAGUUGUAAUUUGUAGAGGGAGUUUCGGGCGCGGCGCUGGCCUAAGUUCCUUGGAACAGGGCGUCAUAGAGGGUGAGAAUCCCGUAUGUGGCCGGCGACCAAGCCCAUGUGGAGCCCCUUCGACGAGUCGAGUUGUUUGGGAAUGCAGCUCAAAACGGGUGGUAAAUUCCAUCUAAAGCUAAAUACCGGCCAGAGACCGAUAGCGCACAAGUAGAGUGAUCGAAAGAUGAAAAGCACUUUGGAAAGAGAGUUAAACAGUACGUGAAAUUGUUGAAAGGGAAGCGCUUGCGGCCAGACUUGCCCGGGGGCGAUCAGCCUCCCUUUGGGGUGGUGCACUCGCCCACGGUCAGGCCAGCAUCGGUUUCGGCGGCCGGACAAAGGCUUCGGGAACGUGGCUCCCUCCGGGGAGUGUUACAGCCCGGGGUGCAAUGCGGCCAGCCGGGACCGAGGACCGCGCUUCGGCUAGGAUGCUGGCGUAAUGGCCGUAAGCGACC